This 407-nucleotide ribosomal RNA is filed under the name uncultured bacterium. Its description in RNAcentral is "bacterial SSU rRNA". It matches the Rfam family "Bacterial small subunit ribosomal RNA", at positions 32 to 413 of the family's 1533-position model. The record is from RNAcentral.
AAUCAACGCUGGCGGCGUGCCUCAGACAUGCAAGUCGAACGCGAAAGUUUCCUUCGGGAGAUGAGUAGAGUGGCGCACGGGUGAGUAACACGUGAGUAAUUUACCUUCGGGUGGGGAAUACUAACCGGAAACGGUUGUUAAUACCGCAUAAUGCAGCGGCAUCAAUGAUGACAGUUGUUAAAGCGGGGGAUUGGAGCAAUCCGACCUCGCGCCUGAAGAGAAGCNCGCGGCAGAUUAGCUAGUUGGUAAGGUAAUGGCUUACCAAGGCGACGAUCUGUAACCGGCCUGAGAGGGCGGUCGGUCACACUGACACUGAAUAACGGGUCAGACUCCUACGGGAGGCAGCAGUCGGGAAUUUUGGGCAAUGGGCGCAAGCCUGACCCAGCAACGCCGCGUGAAGGAUGAAG